This 213-nucleotide long non-coding RNA is filed under the name Elaeis guineensis (African oil palm). RNAcentral describes it as "long non-coding RNA (EGUI_LNC061189)". Lineage: Eukaryota; Viridiplantae; Streptophyta; Magnoliopsida; Arecales; Arecaceae. The record is from RNAcentral.
AUAUCAAAUCCAAUCAGAGUCGAACUGAAUCUAAUUCAAGUAGACUUGAUCCAAAGCUCUUUACUCAAUCAAAUUGAGUCAAUUAGUAAUCCAAUUACUAAUUAAUUCUCUAUUAAUAGUAGAGUCUCAAUCCUAGUAGGACUUUCCUUCAGAGUCCCAGUCCCAAUGGUACUCCUCACCAGAGUCACAAUCUAAUUGGACCCUUCAGCCAUC